GGGGAUGUGACUCAGUGGUUGAGUGCUUUCCUGGUAUGUGUAGGGUCCUGGGUUUGAUCCCCAGCACCUCCA
RNAcentral lists this transfer RNA (72 nucleotides) under Marmota marmota marmota (Alpine marmot). It matches the Rfam family "tRNA". From Rfam's summary of the family: Transfer RNA (tRNA) molecules are approximately 80 nucleotides in length. Their secondary structure includes four short double-helical elements and three loops (D, anti-codon, and T loops). Further hydrogen bonds mediate the characteristic L-shaped molecular structure. tRNAs have two regions of fundamental functional importance: the anti-codon, which is responsible for specific mRNA codon recognition, and the 3' end, to which the tRNAs corresponding amino acid is attached (by aminoacyl-tRNA synthetases). tRNAs cope with the degeneracy of the genetic code in two manners: having more than one tRNA (with a specific anti-codon) for a particular amino acid; and 'wobble' base-pairing, i.e. permitting non-standard base-pairing at the 3rd anti-codon position. RNAcentral also lists the same sequence under 1 other name. The record is from Rfam by way of RNAcentral. Lineage: Eukaryota; Metazoa; Chordata; Mammalia; Rodentia; Sciuridae.